Molecule: ribosomal RNA, 497 nt
Filed under: uncultured bacterium
Lineage: Bacteria
Description: partial 16S ribosomal RNA
Rfam family: Bacterial small subunit ribosomal RNA
Source: RNAcentral
GAUGAACGCUGGCGGCGUGCCUAAUACAUGCAAGUCGAGCGAACAGACGAGGAGCUUGCUCCUCUGACGUUAGCGGCAGACGGGUGAGUAACACGUGUAUAACCUACCUAUAAUACUGGGAUCAUUUCGGGAAACCGGAUCUUACACCGUAUAAUAUCUUGAACCGCAUGGUUCAAUAGUGAAAGACGGCUUUGCUGUCACUUAUAGAUGGAUCUGCGCCGCAUUAGAUAGUUGGUAAGGUAACGGCUUACCACGGCAACGAUGCGUAGCCGACCUGAGAGAGGGAUCGGCGACCCUGGAGCGGAGACGCGGACAAGACUACUAAGAGAGGCAGCAGUAGGCAAUCUGACGCAAUGGGCGAAAGCCUGACGGAGCGACGCCGCGCGAGAGAUGAAGGUCUUCGGAUCGUAAAACUCUGUUAUGAGGGAAGAACAGAUGUGUAAGGAACUAUGCACUGCUUGACGGUACCUGAUCAGAAAGCCACGGCUAACUACGUG